CCGGACCUCGUGAUCCGCCCGUCUCGGCCUCCCAGAGUGCUGGGAUUACAGGCGUGAGCCACUGUGCCCGGCCCACAAGUCUUUGUUUUCUCGCCAUACCCACGUGAGUUCUAAACCAAUACAUAUUUGCAGUUGUCUUUUCAGCACAUACACUUGGAUGUUUCAAAGACACUUUCGACUUGGCACAUCUGAAUUCAUCACUUUUUUCCAAAUCUGAUUGUCUCAUACUCCCUUGAUGAAAUGAUGUAAUAAUCCCAAAAUGAAUUAUUCUGAAUUCUACUUUUACUUGCCAUUGAUUACCAAGUGUCAACAUGUCAGAUUUUUUAAUACUCCUUAGUACUAUGGCUGAUGAGGUCCAUCUCUUAAUUUGUUAGAUUUGUCCUUGAGUAGCACUGUCUUUGAUUUUGCCCCUGAAAUUCAUCUUCACACUGUUGACAGAAUAAUCUUUUAAAGUGGUUUGUUUUGUAUGUCUGUGUGCCACUGCUGGACUGAGCUCUUAUAGGAGAUUGUAUCUCUUGUUUUUGUAAUCCUAGCACCUGUUAAAAUAACUAGAAACUUAGAGGUGCAGUCUUGCAGGUUCUCUGACCCUACAGUCACCCUAGACCUGCACUAAUACAGUUUUCAUUAGCCAUUAAAUUUAAAUAAAAUUGGACAUUCUGUUAAUUAGUGAUACUAGCUUUAUUUCAAAUGCUUAUAGCCUCAUGUGACUAUGGACUACUAUAUUGGACAACAUUUUAGAACAUUUUGAUUAUCACAGGAAGUUUCCUUGGACAGAACUGCCCCAGCAGACCUUUGCUGAUGUGGAUGUUUUUCUGUAUUAAAUACAUCCUUUUAACAUUCAGACACCUCCCAAAUGCUAACCUUAAUAGAUGGGCCUUCAGCAUUUAUGUCUCUCUAUCUUGAUCCUGCAACUGAUGACUUGACUAUGUCUGCUCUGCAGAAAGCACCACUACCAGCAUGUGUCCACUCAGGAAAGCUGACACUACAUAUUUCAACAGAGGAGAUGUGAGUACAGAGGCGUUAGAGAAUAACCCGGGGAUCACAACUGUAGGAUGCAGCUACUAGUCCUAAGGAUGCUGACUGCUCUAAUCUCUGCUUCUGGAGGACCAACUUCUUCCAUAAACUUACCCACAUAAUUUACUGUGAUUCGGCUUCUUAGGAAUACCGAUGCAGAAACAGAACUCAAUUCAUCUUACAGGCAACUGUCUCUCAUUAUAGAUUAGUCAAUGAGUGUUUUGUUUAAUAAACAUGUCUAUUAAUUUCAUUAAUCCAAACUAGUUCACCUAAUAGUACUCAAAAUAAUAAAUGGUUAAGCUAGAGGCUUCCAUAACAUGAAAAUUUACUAAUAAUUUUGUUAAAUUUCUCUAUGCUGUCACCAGUGUGUAUAUAUUGGCCAUUCUUUUGAUCACUUUAUUGAUAUUUUUUAAAUGCUUGCAGUUGAAAAAAGGAUAGUUAUACCUAGAUAACUUGAUUGCUGUCUUCUAAAUUCCCAGUAGGUGGUGUCAUAAUACUGUAUUUAGGGAAAUUUUUUAAAAUUUAUUUAAUAAAGUGGAAAAAGAAAGUGCAAA
Molecule: long non-coding RNA, 1568 nt
Organism: Macaca mulatta (Rhesus monkey)
Lineage: Eukaryota; Metazoa; Chordata; Mammalia; Primates; Cercopithecidae
Source: RefSeq, a predicted model, not a curated record